This 815-nucleotide long non-coding RNA is filed under the name Capsicum annuum. Its description in RNAcentral is "long non-coding RNA (CANN_LNC005966)". The record is from RNAcentral. Lineage: Eukaryota; Viridiplantae; Streptophyta; Magnoliopsida; Solanales; Solanaceae.
UUGACUUUUGAAAGUUAGAGUUUAAAAGUCCUUUGAUAUUUUUUUCUUUUGUGAGCGAUCAAUGUCCAAGUGCCACCCUAUUUGGGAAGUCAUUUGACAUGAACUUGAUUGUUUUUUUUCUUUAGUGGGAAAACCUCAAUUAGGUGAAAGCUCCAAAUUGUAGCAUUAUGAUUCCUUCACCUUUUUAUAAUGCCACAGAGCACAUGAGUUGUAGAACUUUUUGAAAUAUAUUAAGGCAUUGACCUUAUUAAAAUUGGAGAAUCCGUUGAAUCUUCAGGUUCACCAAAGUUAGAUCCGGUUAGAGAAUGUUCACCAAAGAAUAGGGAUGCAAGAUUGCCCCCAUCAGCCACCAUAUGAGAGUUGCUGUUUUUCGCCACCUCUAAAGAUGUGAAGUACUUAGAUUAAUCCAAGCCACUAGCCUUGAACUUUCGAUGAGUAAUCGGUCCAGCACGACCGAGGUCAGCAGAUGCAGCAGUAGAGCCCUUACAUGUAACAUCCUUUAUUUUUCCGAAGUCCAUUGCAAUGGUUGAAAUUGUAAUUUUUGAUUUGCAGGAGGAAGAGAUGAAGAACAUAAAUGGUCCCACUAGGCGUAUCAAAAUUUGUUCGCAACCAAUUUUUGAAGCGUCGAAAAUUAACGGCAACCAAAGAUAAAUAAAAGAAAAAAAGUAUUUUUUAUUGGUGAAUCUUGUGAGUACAAUUCUGUAACUCUCUUGAUUCUUCUAUUCUAAACUUAGAAAUGAUUCAAGGGCAUUCAGUAGUGUGUAUCUUGAAUCUUUGGAGGGUUUGAACUCCUAAAGAUGUAUUUCAAUCGCCGG